Molecule: transfer RNA, 88 nt
Filed under: Parabacteroides distasonis
Lineage: Bacteria; Pseudomonadati; Bacteroidota; Bacteroidia; Bacteroidales; Tannerellaceae
Also listed under: 1 other name
Description: tRNA-Ser
Rfam family: tRNA
About the family: Transfer RNA (tRNA) molecules are approximately 80 nucleotides in length. Their secondary structure includes four short double-helical elements and three loops (D, anti-codon, and T loops).
Source: RNAcentral
GGAAAGAUGGCAGAGUGGUCGAUUGCGGCGGUCUUGAAAACCGUUGAACCGAGAGGUUCCCGGGGUUCGAAUCCCUGUCUCUCCGCAA